RNAcentral lists this long non-coding RNA (544 nucleotides) under Rattus norvegicus (Norway rat). RNAcentral describes it as "long non-coding RNA NONRATT025608". The record is from RNAcentral. Lineage: Eukaryota; Metazoa; Chordata; Mammalia; Rodentia; Muridae.
CAGGCCGCCCAGCCCAGCGCUCAGAGCCCAAACCCCCAGAACCAGAACCUCGCGUCCUUGAAGGGUCUCAGGCUGGAGCAGAGGUACCACUCAGCCCCGAGACACCUCGGAGCCCCGCUCGCGGUGCCUACCUGCAAAGCCUGGAGCCCAGUAGCCGCCGAUGGGUGCUAGGAGGGGCUAAACCACCGGAGGAGAUAUCUUUAGGGCCUAGGACACCUAGCAGUGGGGAGCCUGCUGGUGAGAUUUGGUACAACCCCAUCCCUGAAGAAGACCCCAGACCUCCAGCACCUGAGCCCGUGGGAUCGCAGCUAGCUUCCUCUGAGCCAGAAGGCCCGAUCCUCCAAGGUGCAGCCCCUACCAGCCCCCCUACCAAAACCUCCCGUACCAAGUCCCCAGGCCCUGCAAGGCGCCUCUCUAUGAAGAUGAAAAAGCUUCCAGAGCUGCGCCGCCGCCUGAGCCUAAGAAGUACUCGCACUAGCAGGGAACGAGAGAGGACCGCCCCAGCAGGCUCUGUCAUCAGCCGCUACCACCUGGACAGCAGUGU